This 465-nucleotide ribosomal RNA is filed under the name uncultured bacterium. RNAcentral's name for it is "partial 16S ribosomal RNA". It matches the Rfam family "Bacterial small subunit ribosomal RNA", at positions 338 to 795 of the family's 1533-position model. The record is from RNAcentral.
CCUACGGGGGGCAGCAGUAGGGAAUCUUCCACAAUGGGCGAAAGCCUGAUGGAGCAACGCCGCGUGGGUGAAGAAGGUCUUCGGAUCGUAAAACCCUGUUGUUAGAGAAGAAAGUGCGUGAGAGUAACUGUUCACGUUUCGACGGUAUCUAACCAGAAAGCCACGGCUAACUACGUGCCAGCAGCCGCGGUAAUACGUAGGUGGCAAGCGUUAUCCGGAUUUAUUGGGCGUAAAGGGAACGCAGGCGGUCUUUUAAGUCUGAUGUGAAAGCCUUCGGCUUAACCGGGGUAGUGCAUUGGAAACUGGCAGGCUUGAGUGCAGAAGAGGAGAGUGGAACUCCAGGUGUAGCGGUGAAAUGCGUAGAUAUAUGGAGGAACACCAGUGGCGAAAGCGGCUCUCUGGUCUGUAACUGACGCUGAGGUUCGAAAGCGUGGGGAGCAAACAGGAUUAGAUACCCCUGUAGUC